This 306-nucleotide ribosomal RNA is filed under the name Triticum aestivum (bread wheat). Its description in RNAcentral is "partial small subunit ribosomal RNA". The record is from RNAcentral. Lineage: Eukaryota; Viridiplantae; Streptophyta; Magnoliopsida; Poales; Poaceae.
AUGUCUCCAGGUGAAAGCCUAGGUUUGGAGUUGGACCGGCGUGAUAGCGGCGUCCUUGACGUCGUCCCUCUGUUGAGAGUAUCGUGUUUGGAGACACGGCUUGGUGGUCCUAAGUUGCUUUCCUCCGACGCUCGCUACUAUCCAAGAUUGUUCUGCAGGGGCGCUAUGCACACCAUGGCUAGCGUGUCCAAGACGAUGCCUUUCUCGGGACGGACCAAAUUCCGCCAUCCACCUCCUUUAGGAUGGUGCGUCAACGAGGAAAGUCAAGAUGAAGAUGUUCUUCUUGGAGGCGGCAGCAUUGGUUGA